Molecule: long non-coding RNA, 2358 nt
Organism: Cydia amplana
Lineage: Eukaryota; Metazoa; Arthropoda; Insecta; Lepidoptera; Tortricidae
Exons: 2
Source: RefSeq, a predicted model, not a curated record
GACACAGCGACUGAACUCGAGGAUCCUUCACACUUGGGUAUAAGGAAUAAGUAGUUUGCGACGACAUAUUUUAGUACAGGGAAAUGCACAGUGAUUACAAAACGCACAGACAGCGUGCUGUCAAAAUUCACGUUAUCAUAGCUAAGAAGAAACUCGUCGUAGAGGGCGCGAGCUAACAAAUUUCUUAUCAUAAACAAUUGGUACCUAGCACAGGCAAACCGGCGGGAACAACUUGUUAAACUCCUGACGCUCUAACUUAGAACUAGCGUUAGUAUUCAACGUUGAACGAAGUAUUGCGUAAAGGACUUAGUAAAUUGAUCGAAUAAACUCGUAUAAAGUUGUAGGUGUUAAAUUCAUAUAAAUGCGCCUUCUGACAUACAUUAUUAUCGUUUACUGAGCGGUACGUUGUAAUUGAAGUACCUUUUCAUUUCCUCGAGAACGUUUGUAUCGUCUAAAAUUGAUAGUAUAGAUAGAGAGCAAUAAUAUUUAUCAGUUUUGUAUAUGGAUAUGUGAAAACUUUAAAUUUUUAGUGUUCAGAACAUGUUUUUUAUAAUUAAUAAUUUCUUAGUAAGUAUGUAUAAACUCAUGAUUAGAGAUCGUAUUAAAAAUCAUUUUAUAUCGCAAUGUUUAGUAGCGGUGCCAAGGUGCCAUUUUGUGACGUACUUUAUACUAAAGUCAAGCGUAUACCUACUUGUGAAUAUUAACCAAGUUCAGUAGACCACACGCGGCGUGUCGCUGCGGCCACUCCUAUACCGACCAUAACAUUGUCAUUAACAUAAGUUUAUGUAUUACUACACAAUCAUUUAAUUAUAAUUCUCUCAUGUUAAGCGACUUCGUAAUCACAGUACUUUAUGCAAUAUUAUAAUAGAGAGCUACAAGAGUUGUAAAUGGUGGUUAACUUUGAGACCAUUCCAUUAUAGUUACAAUUGGAAGCCAAAUGACGACUUAUUUUUCUAAAAAGUUUUGUUAGAUUUGCAAAUAAAACGUUAAAAUAAAAUGUAGGCGUUAAUCGAUAUUGUAUUAAUAAGAAGACAUUCAGAUUUCCAAAGAUCUAAGGCUCAAGUAAAUUCUUUUAACUAGCUUAUGUAUUGCCAUUAUAAUUAUGUAUAUAUGUUAUUACUUAUUGCGAUAUAUCGUGCGACUGUUGUCAAGUGACUGUUGGGGAAGUGAGUAUAUAUUAAGCUGUUAUAUCGAAGAUACAUCGCGUGCAGUUCACGGGGUUGUUGAUAUGAAAAUUAAGAUCAAGUCGUCUAUGUGCAUAGUUUAGUUAGGAUAUACAAACGAAGGUAACGGUACAGCGAUGUCACUUCAAUUUAGCCGCUUCAAUAGAAACCUUUGCGUUCGAGUACCAAUCACGAUCAUAGUUGAUAAUUAGAACUUUUACUUUGAGUAAAAAUAGAUACUUAUUACUUACUUACCAAAAUAUUGUGAUACAACUUUUUUAUCUGUAGUAUUCGCUCGGUUUAUUAAAACACUUUCUUUUCUUGGUGUUAUAGAGAGAAUGUCAAAGCGAAUAUGGUAAAUAUACUAAAUUGUGUAUAAAGUACAUAUGAAAAAGUUUUAAAUAUUUAUUUAGAUACGUUACCUAGAAUGUUCACGACUAUCCUGACUCCAGAUAUACAGUAUCCGAUUAGUGUAAGCACAUUUGUUCAAGUACAUCCUGGGCACUUGCCAAAUUAAUUUUCUAGGUUAUUGUUACAGUUUUACGACAUUCUCUUACAUGUUAACCUCGAAGGUGCUAUAUGUUAGCAAUAUGUCAUGGAUGCACCAAACAAUUGUCAUGGCUAACGAUAGUAUUCCAUAAUGAGAUUUAUGUGUAUACAUUUACAUUUGACAAGGCGUUCUCGGCAACUGUGUUGUAGCUAGAGAAUUUAUUUUUAUACUUAGUAUACAGGGGUGUUUAUGAAAAGCAAAACGUAUAGUUUGCAUUUUUGAUGUCAUACCUUAUUCAAGUCUUUUAUGCACGUGUUUAUUCUUUUUUAUAAUGGAAAUAUAAAUUUGUGGUAAACGUAAGAAUAUGUUAAUCUUGUUACAUGAAUUAUGAUACAAUUGUAUUAUCAGCAACAAGUCUUUUUGAAUACAGAUUGCAAAGUACCAAUGAGAACAUGUCUGUAUAUAAUUUUAAUUAUGAUGUAAAUUACGGAAUCUCUUUUUUCCAACGGUAUCGCGCGUCUCUUUUGUGCUACUACGAUAUAUAAAUUGCUACCAUCAGUAAUCUGUUUACUGUUGCUUUUAUUUGAAUAUUGUGUAAAUUAUUAAUGACAUGUUGUAAUAAGUAUAUUUUAUAAUAGCCAUAAUUACUUGUUUUAUAUAAGGUAAGUCUGUAAAUACCAUGAUUAUACAUUAAGUUUUAUACUC